RNAcentral lists this ribosomal RNA (253 nucleotides) under uncultured bacterium. RNAcentral describes it as "partial 16S ribosomal RNA". It matches the Rfam family "Bacterial small subunit ribosomal RNA", at positions 524 to 776 of the family's 1533-position model. The record is from RNAcentral.
UACAGAGGUCCCAAGCGUUGUUCGGAUUCACUGGGCGUAAAGGGUGCGUAGGUGGCAGGGUAAGUUUGAUGUGAAAUCUCCGAGCUCAACUCGGAAACUGCAUUGAAUACUAUCCUGCUUGAGGAUUGGAGGGGAGACUGGAAUUCCUGGUGUAGCGGUGGAAUGCGCAGAUAUCAGGAGGAACACCGAUGGCGAAGGCAGGUCACUGGGCCGCAACUGACGCUGAGGAGCGAAAGCAUGGGGAGCGAACAGG